GCUUUAGAUCGAGUAGAAGAUGAACCCAUUUUCAGGUUCUUGAGCCACUGAUCACUCACCGGAAAGAAAAAUAAUUAGACCAGCUUCCAAAUGCCUGAAAAGUGAAAAUCAUCGUCUACACAGCUAUGAAGAAGCUUAAUCGCUCUCUGAUUCUCUUUCCGCUUCUUCUUCUUGUUCUGAGCUUAAUUCUAUUAUAUGCGGAAGCUGAAGUCAUAACCCUAACCCCUGAGACCUUCUCUGACAAAGUAAUGUCAUAAAAACUAUUACUUUAGAUUUACCUUUUUGAAUUUCAUUCAAUCAGAUUUUCCUGCUUUAAUUUAUGUUAAAUUUUUCUUAUCUGAAGUCUAUUUGUGAUUAGACCUGGUGUUCUUUGUGAUUCAUUUGUUUGGAGUUUGUGAAUGUUCAAAAAUAUUUGUUCUUUUUUAUUUGAUUCGAUUGUUAAUUGUGCAAAAUUCAUUGAGGAUAAAGUUUAGUCCUUUUGAUUUUUGAGGUAAUGUGCUUGGAUGAUGGGAUUCUGAUAGCAGAUGGCUGUUUACUCUUCUUUGUCGCCUAAUUACCAAUUUUAUUCCCUUUUUUUUUCUGGGUUUACUGCCUUUUCGUUAAUUCCACAUGGGUAUUCAAAGUUGGAGGUCUCUGGUUCAAUCUCACUGGAAUCUGUGAGUGGGAUUUAGUAGGAUGGAAGAGACUUCUCCCAUCAUGUACCCCUAAAGUCUGAUGAGACUCUUGAUAAAUAAAAUAAAAAAAUUGCAAAAUAAUAAUCAAUAAAGAAGUUACUGAUUAUGUGUUGGUGUUUAUUUUUUAGGUGAAGGAAAAGGAUACUGCAUGGUUUGUGAAAUUUUGUGUUCCUUGGUGUAAGCAUUGGUAAUGGAUCUUAGUUUAGUCAAUUACUUAAAUUUGUGAGUAAGCUAGCUAGACUUAAUUGUAGAAAAAACCAAAAGUUCAUUCUAUUUGUUUGCUUAUGAAUGAAACAAUGACCUCCAGUAAGAAUUUGGGAUCAUUGUGGGAAGACCUAGGGAAAGCAAUGGAAGGGGAAGAUGAAAUAGAGAUUGGAGAAGUUGAUUGCAGUGCAAGCAAACCUGUAUGUACGAAAGUUGAUAUUCAUUCGUAUCCUAUUCAUUCGUAUCCUACAUUUAAGCUCUUCUAUGAUGGAGAAGAAGUUGCUAAAUAUCAAGGGGCAAGGAAUGUUGAAUCGCUUAAAUCAUUCGUUCUGGAGGAAUCAGAAAAAGCAGCAGCAAAAGCACAGCUCGACAGUGAUCAAGAUUUGUGAUUGUCGUUGAGGAACAUCUAGAUGGAAUCAGAAGUGUUGGUGAAAGUCUCAAUGGAAUCAACAUGGUUCCACUGACUAAACAUCCCAGCUGAGAUCACCUUGUGGAUUAUAUGCAGAUUUUAUUGAAGGUCGUUUUCUCAUCCACCCUGUGAUCAGAGUUCGUUUAAUCUGUUUGAGAAGAGCGCUAAUUUUUUGUUGAAGGGCAUUUGAUCUAUUACUGAAUUGUAUUAUCAUACUAUAUAGGGAAUUUAUGCUGAAAGUUUGAUGGUACCUAGUUUCUAGAUUCAAUCAUGAGAGAAUUGAGGUUGCCUCCAUGUGAUGUCAGUCAUGAGUUACAAAAUUUUGAGCAUAGAAUAUAUUGAAGCUUAAUUAUCGCUUAUAGUAUAAAAGAACAUGAUAUUAAACGAUUGUGAUACGUAAGAGAAUUUUGUUUCUGUAGUCCUCUCAUGAUAAUUUUACUUUUGUUCUCAUACCUGAUGCCAAUAAGAAAUUCC
This 1761-nucleotide unclassified non-coding RNA is filed under the name Hevea brasiliensis (rubber tree). The record is from RNAcentral. Lineage: Eukaryota; Viridiplantae; Streptophyta; Magnoliopsida; Malpighiales; Euphorbiaceae.